Molecule: long non-coding RNA, 508 nt
Filed under: Lathyrus oleraceus (garden pea)
Lineage: Eukaryota; Viridiplantae; Streptophyta; Magnoliopsida; Fabales; Fabaceae
Description: Pisum sativum (pea) long non-coding RNA (PSAT_LNC001725)
Source: RNAcentral
GUUCCUUUCAUCUGAUGUAGACCUUAAGUGCCCUUGGUUCAUCUGUCACUUUGUCUAUGUGCUCAAUUUAUUAUGUUGUUAUUAUUGUUUAUGUCUGAUGAUUGUUUCUGAGUUUACCCCAAGAAAUAUUUCAUCUGAUAUAUUGGAAGACAUUGAAGACCGUUAGCUAUUGGAGUGCUUGCUUGGAUAUUAUGGCUAUCUUUAUUUGAUUCCUUGUUCUUCAUAUGGUUUUCUUGGAUAUUGCUUAUGUUUGUUGCUUGCUAAAGUCCAAAGGAAAUUGGGUUUCUAUCUGACAUUCUUGUCUUGUGUAUUGCAUCCCAUUGGUCAUAUCUUUUCAACUCUUAACUUUUAAUUUUUGUUUAGGAUAGUCCUUUCAUCUCCCCCCACUUAUUUAAUUUUAAAAUCCCUCCCUUUUUUCAAAAACCUUCUUUGCUUGUGAUUUCAAAUUUAGACAUGUUUUAAUGACUAGAAACUUUGGCCUUAUGCCAUUGAAUUUUUAAAAACUUUU